Molecule: ribosomal RNA, 491 nt
Filed under: uncultured bacterium
Lineage: Bacteria
Description: partial 16S ribosomal RNA
Rfam family: Bacterial small subunit ribosomal RNA
Source: RNAcentral
AGUGAACGCUGGCGGUAGGCCUAACACAUGCAAGUCGAACGGCAGCACAGUAAGAGCUUGCUCUUACGGGUGGCGAGUGGCGGACGGGUGAGGAAUACAUCGGAAUCUACUUUUUCGUGGGGGAUAACGUAGGGAAACUUACGCUAAUACCGCAUACGACCUACGGGUGAAAGCAGGGGAUCUUCGGACCUUGCGCGAUUGAAUGAGCCGAUGUCGGAUUAGCUAGUUGGCGGGGUAAAGGCCCACCAAGGCGACGAUCCGUAGCUGGUCUGAGAGGAUGAUCAGCCACACUGGAACUGAGACACGGUCCAGACUCCUACGGGAGGCAGCAGUGGGGAAUAUUGGACAGUGGGCGCAAGCCUGAUCCAGCCAUACCGCGUGGGUGAAGAGGCCUUCGGGUUGUAAAGCCCUUUUGUUGGGAAAGAAAAGCAGCAGGUUAAUACCCCGCUGUUCUGACGGUACCCAAAGAAUAAGCACCGGCUAACUUCGUG